CAAUAGCGUAUAUUAAAGUUGUUGCAGUUAAAAAGCUCGUAGUUGGAUUUCGGGGUGGCCUGCCUGGUCCACCGCAAGGUGAGUACUGGUCAGCUGCCCUUCCUCUCGAAAGCCCCGACUGCUCUUCGUUGCAGUGGUCGGGUAGUUCGGGACGUUUACUUUGAAAAAAUUAGAGUGUUCAAGGCAGGCUGUCGCCUGAAUACAUUAGCAUGGAAUAAUGGAAGAGGACCUCGGUCCUAUUUUGUUGGUUUCUAGGGCCGAAGUAAUGAUUAAGAGGGACAGUUGGGGGCAUUCGUAUUUAAUUGUCAGAGGUGAAAUUCUUGGAUUUAUGAAAGACGAACUAGUGCGAAAGCAUUUGCCAAGGAUGUUUNCAUUAA
This 377-nucleotide ribosomal RNA is filed under the name uncultured eukaryote. RNAcentral describes it as "partial 18S ribosomal RNA". It matches the Rfam family "Eukaryotic small subunit ribosomal RNA", at positions 592 to 976 of the family's 1831-position model. The record is from RNAcentral.